RNAcentral lists this long non-coding RNA (249 nucleotides) under Mytilus galloprovincialis (Mediterranean mussel). The record is from RNAcentral. Lineage: Eukaryota; Metazoa; Mollusca; Bivalvia; Mytilida; Mytilidae.
CCCCGCCACAUUAUUUAUGUAUGUGCCUGUCCCAAGUCAGGAGCCUGUAAUUCAGUGGUUGUCGUUUGUUUAUGUGUUACAUAUUUUUUUUUCGUUCAUAUUUUUACAUAAAUAAGGCCGUUAGUUUUCUCGUUUGAAUUGUUUUACAUUGUCUUAUCGGGGCCUUUUAUAGCUGACUAUGCGGUAUGGACUUUGCUCAUUGUUGAAGGCCCUACGGUGACCUACAGUUGUUAAUGUCUGUGUCAUUUU